UGUGUUGUGGCCACGCCCCUUCUCUCCGCGAUGUUGACGCAAUGUAUAAAUAGUGGAACAAAGACAACUUCCUAGAAGCUUUGCCUGGUGUGCACGGCGGCCGGCGGCGAGCUGCGUCUGCUGCCCGGAGAGAGGACAGACUGGGGCACUGGAUGUUACCAUUGGACAGCCCGCAGCCGGCUCCCUAUCAUUGGGCUUCCCCCCACUCGCAAGCCCAUUGGACGAGGCGCUGCUACUGGGGACAUGACGUCACCUGCCCGGCGCUUCUCAAUGAAUUGUCUUGUAUUGAUGGGUUCUAGUGGGAUGAGGUCUGCACUGCAGGCUCCUCCAGCAUGAAAUGGUUGACUACAGAGAACAAUCGACUGCAUUCAACAGAACAGACUGCUGAUAAUACGGCUUUUGGGUUCAGUGUCCUGUGCACAUUGACGAGGAUGAAUUAUAUUUUUCAUGAUGGCAUUACAGAAUGAAAAGACCCCUUUUGG
Long non-coding RNA from Bufo gargarizans (Asiatic toad), 482 nucleotides. RefSeq lists it as uncharacterized. The record is from RefSeq and is a predicted model, not a curated record. The transcript is spliced from 3 exons. NCBI's taxonomy places the organism in Eukaryota, Metazoa, Chordata, Amphibia, Anura, Bufonidae.